UUUUUUCUUUUUUUUUGUUUUUUGAGACAGAGUCUUGCUCUGUCCCCAGGCUAGAGUACAGUGGCGCCAUCUCGGCUCACUGCAAGCUCUGCCUCCUGGGUUCUCGCCAUUCUCCUGCUUCAGCCUCCCAAGUAGCUGGGACUACAGGCGUCUGCCACUACACCCAGCUAAUUUUUUGUAUUUUUAGUAGAGAUGGGGUUUCAUUGUUUUAGCCAGGAUGGUCUCGAUCUCCUGACCUUGUGGUCUGCCUGCCUCGGCCUCUCAAAGUGCUGGGAUUAUAGGCAUAAGCCACCUCGCCCUGCCGCAUUCUGUCAUUUUUGUACAACUGUCAAACAAAUCACCUCUUAAAAGUAUCUUUAAAUCUGUUUUAAAAUUAUUUCUUCCAGAAUUACAUUUUUUGGGAUUUCAAUCUUUCAGGAUUUCAACAUUUAUAAUUAUGGUAAUUGAGACUGUGUCUUUCAGGAUUUUGAUCAGCUGCUGAAUUGACGAUAUGUGAGGUGAGCUGAUUUGCAGUGAGGGUUACUUGAGAAGAAAGGAAAGCAAUUAUUCCAUUUAUUUCUCUAACGAUUUAAAGGUCUCCAAAGAACGUGUCUUAUUGGUGAUUAUUUUUCAUUUCUACUUCUCUCUUUUAGUUCUCUGAAAGACAGUUCUCUUUCUGAUUCUCUUAUGAGUUUGAAUAUGGUAGUCAGAUAAAGAGCCCACAAAGAUAAAAGUGGCUACAGUCUACAAAUCAUAAUGUGGCCCUGCUUAUUGGAUAGGUACAUUGUCAUAGGUGAAGUAUUUCCAUUACUAUCAUUAACCACAUUAAAUUUAGGGCUGCUGAUUAGGAGAAACUGAUAGGUUACAGUCAGCUUAUAGAUUCUGGUUUUCAUGAUGGUUUUCUCAUCAGUUUUUUAACGGAAAUGAACAUAUUGCUUCUAUCAGGUGAAUAGUAACAUUUAAUACCUCUGAAUCAAGGGUCCACAAACUAUGAGCUACCAGCCUGAUCUGGCCCAACAUCUGUUUUUGUAAAUGAGUUUCGUGGCAAUAAAAUAGCACUCUUUUAUAUAGCAUCUGUGGUUGUGUUGGGGCUACAGCAACAGAAUGGAGUAAUUGCAACAGACAUCUUAUGGCCUUCAAAGUCUAAAAUGUAUACUCUCUGACUCUUUAGAGGAAAGUUUUCUGACUACUGGUCUAAAGCAGGGAUGAUAAGCUAACAGCAAUCAAUCAAAUGUCAUUAUUACAGUGACUAAUUAAUGAAGUCUGUGAUGGGUGAAAUAAUAGGCUAUGGGGACAUUUAGGCUAGAUAUUUGCCAUCCUUUGCCUAAAAAAAAAUUGCAUUUCCUUAAUAAUUACCAACUGAGUCAAAGAAAAUAAGUCAGUUAAUUUCCUCUUCCUUAAAUCUUUGAAAGAGCUAAGCCUAGUGACACAUUUUAAAAUAAUAUGAGUGGGACAAAAAAUUCAAUUUGUUGCCUUUCUCAUGAUUUCUUAACUACUAUGGACCAUAGAU
Molecule: long non-coding RNA, 1489 nt
Filed under: Macaca fascicularis (crab-eating macaque)
Lineage: Eukaryota; Metazoa; Chordata; Mammalia; Primates; Cercopithecidae
Description: lncRNA (ENSMFAG00000052554.1)
Source: RNAcentral